CGGGCGGACACCUGCCCUUGCUGUGGUGCCGUCCGGGGCGGGGCGGGCCCAGCCGGCCUGGAGUCCAGGUCUGGGAGGCCCAGGCGCCGCCCACGGCCUCCCACCCGGCCCCACUCGCUGGCCCAGCGUCCGCCUCCUGCCGAGGUGCUGCCCUGCCGGCGUUUGUUCACCAGAGUCCAGGGUCCCGUGGCCGUCAGGGUCACUGUCCCUUGUUUGUUUUGCUUUGGGGAGACAAGGUCUCAUUCUGUGUCCGUCUGACUUGAUCCUCCUGCUUCAGCCUCCUGAGCAUGGGGGCCAGGGGGCCACUGUGGACAGGACCCGACAAGUGUGGUCUGACAUGGUGUCCGAGGGUCGGUGCAGCUGCCGGGAGACUGCGGGUGUCACUGCGAGAGAGAGAGAGAGAGAGAGAGAGAGAGAGAGAGAGAGAGAGAGAGAGAGAGAGAGAGUGUGUGUGUGUGUGUGUGUGUGUGUGUGUGCUCGUGCGCGUCCCAGAGGAGAGGCUGCCUGUCACCGGCUGUGCCCUGUUCCUGUUGGGAAGAUGGGGCGCUUGGGAGGGGGCACAGCGAGCUGCCUCGGGGUGCUCAACCCCUCGAAACCGAGGCUCAGGCCCAAACCGCCAGUGUGCAGCCCGGCCCUCCAGCGUGUGUAGAGAAUCUGCUGCUUUCUCUCCUCCUUUUGCAGUUUUGUUUUGUUUUGUUUUGUUUUGUUUUGUUGAGUCAGGGUCGCGCUGUGUAGCCCAGGCUGGCCCUGAACUCGAAGUGAUCCUCCUGCCUCCGCCUCCUGAGUGCAGGGAUGACAGGCCUGGGCCCCCACACCCGGCUCAGUGCUGGGCUUCUGACAGCCUUUGGUGCUGAGUCCUGGUCUCUGGACUUGAGCCACUCUGGCGGGUCUUUCUGGGCACCUCGGAGCCCCUCAGUGCUGUGCCCUGAGCACCCCGCUCUCUCUCUGAACCCCAGGAGGCAGCCGGCUUGGCUCGGGGCGCGGGGCGGGGGGCGGGGCGGCUCCAGCCCUCAGCCCUUCUGGGAGUAGUUAGGCGUUCGCUCAUCUGGAACAAGGAAUCACAACUACUGGGAUGAGUUUUCUUCCUGUUUAGUUUGAUUUUUAAUUUUCUUCCUUUUUUUCUUUUUUUAUCAUUUGGCGUUUUGAGACGAGGAAUCACUGUGUAGCCCAGGCUGGCCUCGACCUCACAGCGAUCCUCCCGCCUCAGCCACCAGGCAUGCGCCCCCACGCCCUGCGGGAAUCCUGGACCCCACGAGCACCUGCCCAUUUCGGCGGGGCCCUCGCGUCCCCCAGAACAGCCCGGGCCGGUGGUGCGGCUGCUGUACCUGUCCCACAGGCGAUGGAGCUGGCUUGGUGUUGGCUUCAUCCCCGGGAGGGUUGGUUGGCGGCCACAGGGUGCUCGCUUCUGCUCAGACUGCUCAGCAGCCGGGACAGCGAAGGCCCUGGGAGCCCGGCUCCAGCCCCGCUGUGCUGUCCGCACUUCUGUCUGGCCCGGUGUCCUGCUCCGUGCUGCAGACUGAAGCACAGUGGGAUUCACUCAGAGAUCCAUGGACUCUGACUCUACACCCCGAUUUCAUCUGCACAGAAAGAAAGCGGCACCCCAGUGGUCUCAGUGCUCGGGAGGCUGAGGCGGGAGGAUCGCUGUGAGUCUGAGGCCAGUUGGACCCUACCUCAGAAAACUACAAAUAAGUGUUUACGUAUGUUCGUGCACCCUAAAAGCUCAGUAUUUGUUGGUGUAACGGUUAAACCCUGCUGACUGUGCCUUUAACUCUGAAAAUCGUGCACUGCAGCCUGGAGAACUGCUCCUGACCGGCAUCACUGCUCUCCAGGACCUCAGUGUCCAGCCCAGGGGCCACCCGGCCGCGCCUCUGCCUGGGGAGUUGAGGCCUGCGGUGGACUCGAAGUGUAGACUGGCUGGCUAGUGUUCAGCACAGUGUUCACAAGAGCGCCUGAAACCCCCAGGUUCGGGGCCAGUGACUUUAGUCUCUAAAACAAGUUUUGGUUUGUUUUUUUUGUACUGGGAUGGAACCCGGGGCUUGUCAUGGAGCUACAUCCCCAGCCCUUUGGAUUUUUAAUUUCAGACUCGAAUGCGCUAAGGGAUAAGUUGCCUGGUUGGGUUUGAACUGAGUUCCUCCUGCCUCAGGCUCCCCAGGGCCGGGAUUACUGGUGUUCUCACUUCUGCACAUCUGCACGUUGCGCGUGAGUGUGUCGGACUGUUCAGACCCCAGAGAGCUUUCCCAGUGCAGCACACUCAGCAAGCAGGGCUCCGUUUCAUGGGUGAAGAAAGCCUUGUUGUCUUAAAUGAUCAUAGAACUAAAAUCUCUUUUGGGGGAGGCAUGGAGCUUUUUUUAUUUCUUAAUUUAAAUUUUUGAAACAGGGUCUCGUUAUGUUGCUAAGUCCCCCAGGCUUGUCUAGAACUUGCGAUCCUCCUACCUCAGCCUCCCAGAGAGCCGGGAUGACAGGCCUGCAUCCCCACAUCCAUCUUAAAAUCUCUCCUUUAAAAUCUGUCAUCUUCCCACGAAGUUCUCUGGCUUUCUGAUUUCUUUUUCGGAUGCCCUGGCUCAGACCAGGGCCUCUUGCACACCUCAACAUGUGCGCUACCUCCAGGCUGCACCCCAGUCCUGGCCUUUGUGUUGAGCACUGCAAAACUGUUUCAGAAACUGUAGAUGCUGUCCUAGGUUUUGCCUCUGAGCUGCUGUGAAAGCGGCCUAAAGCAGAUCGGCCAUGCCCGGCCUGUUUAGACAGCCGAGUGGCUCGGAUACACUGGCGCGUGCUCCACCGUCACUUUCAAGAAGACCUCUGCGGUGUUUCCCGGUCACGCAUUGGUGUCUCCCUGGCUGUGGAUGAAUGGCCUGACCAGGCGCUCGCGGUCCGUGGCGCUGCUCAUGGUGGCGCCUCAUCAGAAACCACCGUCUCCGAGGUUUCUGAGGCAGCGAGUUCGAGGCCUGGGCGAGGCCUGGGUGGCCGGUCGAAGCCCGCCGCCUCCCUGGGUUCGCUCCAGGGCUCCGAGUUUGGCCUUGGCACCGCCAGCUGAGGUGACCCUGGCUUGAUUUGUUUUACUUCUUUAUGGUGUCUUGAGACAAGGCCGGCUCUGUAGCCCAGGCUGGCCUUCCUCCAAGGGAUUGUCCUGCCUCAGCCUCCCGUGCGGGGCCUGCAGGCGUGUGUCCCCUGCCUGGCUCCUUGUUGCUGUUGUUCAGCAGGAGGGAAUUCCCUUGCCAAAGGGCAGUCAUUCCUCACGGUGGUCGUCCUGGUGGGGACAAAUCACACUGGUGACUGCUGUGAGCGCCCUUGAGCAGGCCUGGCCUUCUCAGCUCAGCUGCGGGAGGCAGGACGGGUGGGAGGAGCCAGUGAAGGGCACUCAGGAACCCACUGGAUUGUUUUGGUGACUUCUGAAUUAUUUCAAACGAUCGAAACAGUAACCAAGCCGGGCCUGGUGCUGCAGGCCUAGAAUCUCAGCACUCAGGAGGCUGAGGCAGGAGGAUCGCUGCCAGUUUGAGGCCAGCCUGGGCUGUGUAGCCAAACCCCGUCUCAGAGGCAGACAGAGCCAUGGCAGUGAGCCCACUAGGUCUGCUGUGGGUCCUGAGAGGCCUUGGUCUCGGCCCCACCCCCACGCAGGGUGGGUAAACUGAGGCUCGGGGUUGCCACAACCACAGGUUAAGUGUUGGACUUCAGCCAUGAGGCGUAGCAUCCGUUUGCUCCCUAAGGGUCACCAGGUUUUUCUUGCUGGGUUUCUGAGACAGGGUCUCGGCGACCCUCCUGCCUCAGCCUCCCGGGUGUCAGGUGACAGGCGUGCGUCACGAGUCUGCUGCAGGGAGAGCGUGUGAGGGCUUCCGGCCUGCACGGGAGCGGCUGGGCCUCCACAGCACGUCAGCCGCGUGCACCUCUGCAGAGGCACCGGGCUUCGGGGAGGCGGAGAGUGUCGCUUCCAGGGAGCCCACUCUGUGCCCAGCUCAGACCUCGGCUGCCCCGGUCCCAGGCCAGGCACAGCUGGCAGCGGUGACUCCACAGUUCUCUGGCGGUGUGAUUUUAAAACCCAGCCCAGCCUUGGUUUUAAGUGAAAGGCGAAGCCGACUUUGGUUUAAGUCUUAAAAGAUAGUUCAGCCGGGCGUGGUGCUGCACGCCUGGAGUCCCAGCACUCGUGAGGCUGAGGCAGGAGGAUCGCCAAGAGUUCAAGGCCUGCCUGGGCUGCACACAAAGCACACGCGUGCUUGGGCCAGGCAGGCCUGGGGAUCCCGGCCGCUCUGCGCUGCCCUGGACACCUUCAGGGGACAGAAGAGCCGAUCUGGGGGCAAAACGGGCGCUUCCUAGCAGGGCUGGCAGAGCUGUUUGUUUUAUUUUGCUUCAUUUUUAAAAUGCAGUUGUCAUCGAAUUUACAGCCCAGGCUCAAGGGAGGGAGAUGGGGCACACUUUUUCUGGGAGCAUUUUUUAAGUUUCACAACAGCGGGAUUCUGGGAGGCUCUGGUGUGUGAUCUUCCAAGUGGACGCUUGUGCAGGCAAAAGCGUGCACUUCCUGCCAGGAGGGAAGUGCUGGAAGUACUCGUCUGCCAAGGCGUUCUCACAGGUAGUCCCUGGACCGUGUGCAGCGCCUGUUGGAUAUUGCUUUGUACAGCUCUAGCACUGUGGUUGCAGGACCCAUUUCUCGUCUUGCACACUGUUAGUAUCACUGGAGUUUGGGGACAAGGUCUCACUUUGUCGCCAGGGUGGGCUGGAACUCACAGCCAUCCUCCUGCCUCAGCCUCCCGAGCGCUGGCAGGACAGUUGCGUCCCUCUGAGGGACUCAUUGCUGUGAGUCCCCUGCAAGAGGAGGAGGUGCCGUGGGUCCGUCUGACGCUUGCAGAUGCAGUCACACAUUUGUAGCUUUGAUUCAGUCUCAUGAGAUCAGCGUUUUUGACAAAGGAAUUCAAUUCAGACAAGGAACAAAUAUGUGGCCAGAUCAUGUUGUUUCCAUGAUGUUCUUCUCAGCUAAACAACAACAAAAGCGCGAGAUGAUUUCUUUUAAUUCAAUAACAAGUUUCAAUUUAGUCCUGACUGCACUGAGUCAAGGCUCCCAGACUGCUGCGUUCAAUCAAGGGUGCCGCGUUUGGCGAGCAAGUCUCUCAGAAGAGCAUUGUGCAGUGCAGCGAGUUUGCUGCACAUUUGUUCAUGACCCAGAUUCUUUCUGUUUGUUGUGUUGAGACAGGAUCUUGCUGUGUAGUCCGGGUUGGCCUCGAACUCACAGCGCUCCUUGUGCCUCAGCCUCCAGAGUGCUGGCAUGGCAGGUGUGCGCCACCACACCGGGGCCUAGCUGGUUGAUUGUGACCGGGAUUCAAAGCCAAGCCGCCCGUGCCAGAGCCCGGCCCUGACCACCACGCUGGGCGGGUGUGGCGGCUGUGGGGCUGGGGCCCUGCAGGCCCGGGCCGCCUCGCACCCGCGUUUCCCGGCCGGAACCCAGGUUCCAUGCUGCCGUCGCUUCACCUCCUUGCGCCUGACCUGCAUUCAUCCGCACCUCCGCUCCCAGCCCGGACGCAGCCGCUCUGUCCCCCGAUAAUACGCACGCUGGAAAAUUUUAACAGUAUUUCAGUUGCAAAUAGAUGGAAAUUGUGUGUUCUGUUUAAUGCGAGGCAGAAAAUCCUGCCAUUUUUUCCCUUUAAAUACAAGAAAACAGGCGUGUAAUGCGGCAUUGAGGACGCCCGCCGGGGCCCUUUGUGCUGGGCUUAAUUAGGGGCUCGGGAAGGGGCGGCCCGACCGGCGGCCGCAGAGCAUUUGUCCAUUGGGGCCUGAAGGACACUUUUGUCUGUGACUAACAGAGGUGAAAGAAGCCAAUUAUUGGGCCGCUCUGCCUGGCGCAGCUGGCGGGGUGGGACAGCCGCUCCCUGCCCCGGGCCUGGCUCCGCUGUGGCACCUCGGCCCUGCCCGGCGCGCGGCUGUCACCUGCUGCGGCCUUUCCGUGUUUUAAUUUUCUUAAAGCCCUCAUAGCGCAUUACACUCGCCAAGUAACUGGCUUUGUGUUGCGUGUGUCUUUGUUUUUGUUUGUUUGAGACAGGCUGGCCUUAAAGUCAUUUGAACAUUUCUAAGUCUUCUCUGUUGUCUUAAGUGAAGUACAGGUGUCUGUCUGGAGACAAGAUAUCACUGUGUAGUCCAGCCUGGCCUGGAACUCACAGGGAUCCUCCUGCCUCAGCCUCCCGAAUGCUGGGACUACAUAGCAAGAUCUUGUCUCAAAUAACAAUAAUAAUGAUUAAAAUGCCCCAUGUAUGUACGGGUUCCCCUAGAUGCUUAUAAUUAUUGUGCAAUGCAAAGGUAUGCCAGUAAAAAUACACAUUCUCCGAGGCAGGAGAAGUCCAAACCAGAAUCCUUCCCCCACGCAAGGUGCGCAUAAAGCUCUCACAAACUGCAAAGACCUCUAGGGAGACACCUCUAGCAGACAAAGCUCGAGGUGGGUGGGGAUUAUUUGCACGGACUUCACUGUCGGCUGGGAGGUGCCCAUCCGAGGGAUGAAACUGCGGACAGGGCAGUGGCAGGGGAGUGUGCGUAUUAAAAUACUGUUUCCUAGGGUCUCAGCAAGGGUGCUCCGCUACUUUAUUAUGUUUUGGUUUUUGAGACAGGGUCUCGCCCUGUAGCCCAGGCUGGCCUCACACUUACUUGGAUCGUCCUGCCUCAGCCUCCCCGAGUGCUGGGAUCACAAAGGUGUGAGCCCCCACACCCGGCUCCCCCUGAUGAGCACCUUGCACAAAGUGCCUUUUAUGGUGCUAGAUUGCUCUCGGUGAUCGCUUGUAGGCAGCUUUAAACUUCUGACCACACCAGGACGUAGCGUGUCACAGGUUUGCCCAUCAUGCUCGGAGGAUUAUGAUUUCUUUUCAAAAUAGCAAUUUAUUUAAAAACAAAACAGAACCACCCUGGCUCAGCAGUGGUGUGUGUCGGCUCUCUGUAAGGAAGAAAUGACCAAGACGCAGAGCAGGCCUCAGCAUGGUGGCUGUAGCAAUGUGGAGCUGCCUCAGUAUCGGGGACAGCGCAGAACCGGCAUACAGGGGCCCGGAUGAAGCCACCAAGCCCAGCAGGCACGUGGCCAGCUGCCAGUGUCCCCAGCGCCCCUAAGACUUGGCCCUGCUCUGCGGCCACCCUGCUGUUCCCCAAAACCUGAUUUCGCACCUCUGUCCCCGCCUGCUCUCCAGGUCUCCUUCCCUCUCCUUGGGCGCAGCUCUGGACGCUGCCUGCCCGCGUGGCUCUCGCCCAGCCGUCCUGGCUGCCUUGACGGGCGUCCCCAGGCACUGCGUACUCAUUCACCCCGGGGAGGAGCCAGGAGUCACAGGGUCGUGGCUGGAGGCCGGGGCAGCUGAGGGCUGGCGUGGGGUUCUCACCAGCCUGGCUUUCUGUGGGGGGCACCUGGCAGCGGCCAUCACCGUAUUUACGAUGGCACCUCAGAAAGACACUGUGGAAAGGGGGCUCUGUAGCUGGCGCAGAAAGUGGCGAGACCAUGGGAUGAGUUUGAAGCCAGUGACCCUGUCCUGAGGGGCAUUCGUGGCAAUGCAUCUUUCACUGUAUUAAUUUUAAAGAUUUGAGCACCACAUUUUCCAUCAGGCCUGUACAUGGUGGAGAAGACAGGAACAAAUAUACGAAACACAUCCUUCACUUCCAAUCAAACCAAGGUAGCUCCCAGCCUUACAGGACAGAUCUCCUGGGUAAGUGAGUGAUCUGGAAGCUUUUCAUUUUUCUUCCUUUUGAGACAGGGUCUCAUUAUGUCGUUCAGGAGGAUCUCUGUGAGUUCCAGGCCAGCCUGGAUCACAUAUCGAGACCUUGUCUCAAAAAGCCAAUGAAAACCAAAAAAGGAGGCGCUCUGACAGGCGGGGCGGUGGCCCCGUUUGCGUGGGUUGGAGUGGCCUGGUCGCAUCAGCACCCGAAGGCGUCUGUCUCAGGACCUGGGCCCCGGACUGCUUUUCUGCGCAGCACCUCAGGGUGCCGGUCCCUCUGCCGGCAGCAGGGCCGUGGGUGCUGCGAGCGAGCAGGCGAUCUCAGGAGGGAAGCAGAGGGGUCGCUGGGGGUCCAGCAGCCCGGGAGGCUGGAGGGCAGGAUGGCCAGUGGGGACCGGGAGGGCCGGCCCAGGCUGCCACACCCGUGGCGACCCUCCUGCCUCAGCCUCCCGGCGCGGCGCAGUAUUUUCCCGGUAACAGCUCCGGAGUUCAGGGUGAGGCUGCAGUGGCCCGGAGAGCUGCGCUCCGCUAGGCGGGGUGUUUUCGGGGUGCCGUCUCCCCGACUCGGCGCGCGAUUCUGAGCGGCCCCGGGUCACAGCGAGCCCUGGGCGGGCGGCCGGCCCGGGUUCUGCCCCAUCCCUGGGUCGGUGACGUCACCGCAGGCCGGGCGCCGCGGAGUCGGAGGAGCCGCAGC
RNAcentral lists this long non-coding RNA (8358 nucleotides) under Heterocephalus glaber (naked mole-rat). RNAcentral's name for it is "lncRNA (ENSHGLG00000040839.1)". The record is from RNAcentral. Lineage: Eukaryota; Metazoa; Chordata; Mammalia; Rodentia; Bathyergidae.